RNAcentral lists this ribosomal RNA (301 nucleotides) under uncultured bacterium. Its description in RNAcentral is "partial 16S ribosomal RNA". It matches the Rfam family "Bacterial small subunit ribosomal RNA", at positions 509 to 807 of the family's 1533-position model. The record is from RNAcentral.
CAGCAGCCGCGGUAAUACGUAGGGUGCGAGCGUUAAUCGGAAUUACUGGGCGUAAAGCGUGCGCAGGCGGUUGUGUAAGACAGGUGUGAAAUCCCCGGGCUUAACCUGGGAACUGCGCUUGUGACUGCACAGCUAGAGUAUGGCAGAGGGGGGCGGAAUUCCACGUGUAGCAGUGAAAUGCGUAGAGAUGUGGAGGAACACCGAUGGCGAAGGCAGCCCCCUGGGCCAAUACUGACGCUCAUGCACGAAAGCGUGGGGAGCAAACAGGAUUAGAUACCCGAGUAGUCCCUGUCUCUUAUAC